UUGCAGUGAUGACUCAAAUCUGUCAAUCCACUGAGUGCAAUUACUGAUGUCUCCAUGUCUCUGAGCAA
Molecule: small nucleolar RNA, 68 nt
Organism: Pteropus vampyrus (large flying fox)
Lineage: Eukaryota; Metazoa; Chordata; Mammalia; Chiroptera; Pteropodidae
Gene: SNORD110
Product: small nucleolar RNA, C/D box 110
Source: Ensembl